GUACCAAUGGUGUAGUGGUUAUCACAUACAUCUAGCACAUGGAAGGUCCUAGGUUCGAGACUUGUUGGGUACA
Non-coding RNA from Caerostris darwini, 73 nucleotides. The record is from the annotation of a GenBank genome assembly. Lineage: Eukaryota; Metazoa; Arthropoda; Arachnida; Araneae; Araneidae.